GGCUGGCUCAGUUGGUUAGAGCAUGGUGCUGAUGACGCCAUGGUCACAGGUUCAGUUCCCAUGUGGGACA
Non-coding RNA from Podarcis lilfordi (Lilford's wall lizard), 70 nucleotides. The record is from the annotation of a GenBank genome assembly. NCBI's taxonomy places the organism in Eukaryota, Metazoa, Chordata, Lepidosauria, Squamata, Lacertidae.